RNAcentral lists this ribosomal RNA (675 nucleotides) under Echinochaete brachypora. RNAcentral's name for it is "eukaryotic LSU rRNA". It matches the Rfam family "Eukaryotic large subunit ribosomal RNA", at positions 72 to 731 of the family's 3401-position model. Lineage: Eukaryota; Fungi; Basidiomycota; Agaricomycetes; Polyporales; Polyporaceae. The record is from RNAcentral.
GGAUUCCCCUAGUAACUGCGAGUGAAGCGGGAAGAGCUCAAAUUUAAAAUCUGGUGGUCUUUGGCCAUCCGAGUUGUAGUCUGGAGAAGUGCUUUCUGUGCUGGACCGUGUAUAAGUCUCUUGGAAUAGAGCGUCAUAGAGGGUGAGAAUCCCGUCUUUGACACGGACUACCAGUGCUCUGUGAUGCGCUCUCAAAGAGUCGAGUUGUUUGGGAAUGCAGCUCAAAAUGGGUGGUAAAUUCCAUCUAAAGCUAAAUAUUGGCGAGAGACCGAUAGCGAACAAGUACCGUGAGGGAAAGAUGAAAAGCACUUUGGAAAGAGAGUUAAACAGUACGUGAAAUUGCUGAAAGGGAAACGCUUGAAGUCAGUCGCGUUGUUUGGAACUCAGCCUUGCUUUUUGCUUGGUGCACUUUCUGAAUGACGGGCCAGCAUCGAUUUUGACCGUUGGAAAAGGGCUGGGGGAAUGUGGCACCUUUGGGUGUGUUAUAGCCUCUUGUCGCAUACAGCGGUUGGGAUCGAGGAACGCAGCGCGCCGCAAGGCAGGGGUUCACCCACUUUCGCGCUUAGGAUGCUGGCAUAAUGGCUUUAAACGACCCGUCUUGAAACACGGACCAAGGAGUCUAACAUACCUGCGAGUGUUUGGGUGGAAAACCCGAGCGCGUAAUGAAAGUGAAAG